CUCUCUCUCUCUCUCUCUCUCUCUCUCUCUCCCUCAUUCCCUACCAUCACACAGUGCAGACCUCAGAUUGAGUGUUAAAGAAUACAAAUGACCAUAUCGCUUGGGACUGGCAGUGAUGAAGUGCAAGUGUACUUGAUUGAUAAACAACCCAAUGGCAGUAGUGGAGGUGAUUCGUGUGGGAGCCAGGAUCUUGAAACACAACUCAAGCUUUAUGGUACGGAGGCCAAAGAACUCAAGGCCUCAACUACAGAAAUUCAAAGAACAUACUUGUUGGAAGUUUAAACAGAGAAGAAAAGAAGGAAAAGUUAAAAAAGAAUAAAAAUAAACACUAAGUUGUCUACUCCCUAUUUUUUGUUGUGGUUUUUUCUUUCUUUUUUUUGUGGAUUAUUUCCUUUCUUCUCAAGUUCAUCCUUACUGUCAUGGGUUUGUAAGCCAUGAAGUCUUUAUCUGUGUUAGCUUAGAUGAGUUGAUCAAUCAGGGCAUUUACUAGCAAUGGUAA
Molecule: long non-coding RNA, 499 nt
Organism: Magnolia sinica
Lineage: Eukaryota; Viridiplantae; Streptophyta; Magnoliopsida; Magnoliales; Magnoliaceae
Exons: 4
Source: RefSeq, a predicted model, not a curated record